This 253-nucleotide ribosomal RNA is filed under the name uncultured bacterium. RNAcentral describes it as "partial 16S ribosomal RNA". It matches the Rfam family "Bacterial small subunit ribosomal RNA", at positions 524 to 776 of the family's 1533-position model. The record is from RNAcentral.
UACGUAGGGGGCAAGCGUUGUCCGGAAUCAUUGGGCGUAAAGCGCGCGUAGGCGGCCCGGUAAGUCCGCUCUGAAAGUCCAGGGCUCAACCCUGGAAAGCGGGUGGAUACUGCCGGGCUAGAAUCCGGAAGAGGCGAGUGGAAUUCCUGGUGUAGCGGUGGAAUGCGCAGAUAUCAGGAGGAACACCAAUAGCGAAGGCAGCUCGCUGGGACGGUAUUGACGCUAAGGCACGAAGGCCAGGGGAGCAAACGGG